This 494-nucleotide ribosomal RNA is filed under the name uncultured bacterium. Its description in RNAcentral is "bacterial SSU rRNA". It matches the Rfam family "Bacterial small subunit ribosomal RNA", at positions 39 to 524 of the family's 1533-position model. The record is from RNAcentral.
GCGGAUGCUUUCACAUGCAAGUCGGACGGCAGCACAGAGAAGCUUGCUUCUUGGGUGGCGAGUGGCGAACGGGUGAGUAAUAUAUUGGAACGUACCGAGUAAUGGGGGAUAACUAAUCGAAAGAUUAGCUAAUACCGCAUACGUCCUGAGGGAGAAAGCGGGGGAUCUUCGGACCUCGCGUUAUUCGAGCGGCCAAUAUCUGAUUAGCUAGUUGGUGGGGUAAAGGCCUACCAAGGCGAUGAUCAGUAGCGGGUCUGAGAGGAUGAUCCGCCACACUGGGACUGAGACACGGCCCAGACUCCUACGGGAGGCAGCAGUGGGGAAUUUUGGACAAUGGGCGCAAGCCUGAUCCAGCCAUGCCGCGUGUCUGAAGAAGGCCUUCGGGUUGUAAAGGACUUUUGUCAGGGAAGAAAAGGUUGGCGCUAAUAUCGCUGACUGAUGACGGUACCUGAAGAAUAAGCACCGGCUAACUACGUGCCAGCAGCCGCGGUAAU